Molecule: ribosomal RNA, 449 nt
Filed under: uncultured bacterium
Lineage: Bacteria
Description: partial 16S ribosomal RNA
Rfam family: Bacterial small subunit ribosomal RNA
Source: RNAcentral
GUCGAGAAUCUUUCACAAUGGGGGCAACCCUGAUGGAGCGACGCCGCGUGGAGGAUAAGGUCUUCGGAUUGUAAACUCCUGUCAUGCGUGAACAAGGUUGCUUGGUUAAUACCUGGGCAAAUUGAUGGUAACGCAAGAGGAAGAGACGGCUAACUCUGUGCCAGCAGCCGCGGUAAUACAGAGGUCUCAAGCGUUGUUUGGAAUCACUGGGCGUAAAGGGUGCGUAGGUGGCGUGGUAAGUCAGAUGUGAAAGCCCGGGGAUCAACCUCGGAACUGCAUCCGAUACUGCCAUGCUAGAGUACUGGAGAGGUGACUAGAAUUCUCGGUGUAGUAGUGAAAUGCGUAGAUAUCGAGAGGAAUACCAAAGGCGUAGGCAGGUCACUGGACAGUUACUGACACUGAGGCACGAAGGCCAGGGGAGCGAACGGGAUUAGAAACCCGUGUAGUCC